Molecule: ribosomal RNA, 460 nt
Filed under: uncultured bacterium
Lineage: Bacteria
Description: partial 16S ribosomal RNA
Rfam family: Bacterial small subunit ribosomal RNA
Source: RNAcentral
CCUACGGGUGGCCGCAGUGAGGAAUAUUGGUCACUGGGCGUAAGCCUGAACCAGCCAAGUCGCGUGAGGGAUGAAGGUUCUAUGGAUCGUAAACCUCUUUUAUCAGGGAAUAAAGUGUGGGACGUGUCCUGUUUUGUAUGUACCUUAUGACUAAGGAUCGGCUAACUCCGUGCCAGCAGCCGCGGUAAUACGGAGGAUCCGAGCGUUAUCCGGAUUUAUUGGGUUUAAAGGGUGCUUAGGCGGCCUUUUAAGUCAGCGGUGAAAGUCGGUGGCUCAACCAUAGAAUUGCCGUUGAAACUGGGAGGAUUGAGUAUGUUUGAGGCAGGCGGAAGGCGUGGUGUAGCGGUGAAAUGCUUAGAUAUCACGCAGAACCCCGAUGGCGAAGGCAGCCUGCCAAGCCAUGACUGACGCUGAUGCACGAAAGCGUGGGGAUCAAACAGGAUUAGAUACCCGAGUAGUC